UACGUAGGGAGCAAGCGUUGUCCGGAUUUACUGGGUGUAAAGGGUGCGUAGGCGGCUUUGCAAGUCAGAAGUGAAAUCCAUGGGCUUAACCCAUGAACUGCUUUUGAAACUGCAGAGCUUGAGUGGAGUAGAGGUAGGCGGAAUAAGUUAAGUAGCGGUGAAAUGCAUAGAUAUAACUUAGAACACCGAUAGCGAAGGCAGCUUACCAGACUGAGUCUGACGCUGAUGCACGAGAGCAUGGGUAGCGAACAGG
RNAcentral lists this ribosomal RNA (253 nucleotides) under uncultured bacterium. Its description in RNAcentral is "partial 16S ribosomal RNA". It matches the Rfam family "Bacterial small subunit ribosomal RNA", at positions 524 to 776 of the family's 1533-position model. The record is from RNAcentral.